This 1358-nucleotide ribosomal RNA is filed under the name uncultured bacterium. RNAcentral describes it as "bacterial SSU rRNA". It matches the Rfam family "Bacterial small subunit ribosomal RNA", at positions 28 to 1381 of the family's 1533-position model. The record is from RNAcentral.
GAUGAACGCUAGCUACAGGCUUAACACAUGCAAGUCGAGGGGCAGCAUGGUCUUAGCUUGCUAAGGCCGAUGGCGACCGGCGCACGGGUGAGUAACACGUAUCCAACCUGCCGUCUACUCUUGGACAGCCUUCUGAAAGGAAGAUUAAUACAAGAUGGCAUCAUGAGUCCACAUGUUCACAUGAUUAAAGGUAUUCCGGUAGACGAUGGGGAUGCGUUCCAUUAGAUAGUAGGCGGGGUAAUGGCCCACCUAGUCUUCGAUGGAUAGGGGUUCUGAGAGGAAGGUCCCCCACAUUGGAACUGAGACACGGUCCAAACUCCUACGGGAGGCAGCAGUGAGGAAUAUUGGUCAAUGGGCGAGAGCCUGAACCAGCCAAGUAGCGUGAAGGAUGACUGCCCUAUGGGUUGUAAACUUCUUUUAUAAAGGAAUAAAGUCGGGUAUGCAUACCCGUUUGCAUGUACUUUAUGAAUAAGGAUCGGCUAACUCCGUGCCAGCAGCCGCGGUAAUACGGAGGAUCCGAGCGUUAUCCGGAUUUAUUGGGUUUAAAGGGAGCGUAGAUGGAUGUUUAAGUCAGUUGUGAAAGUUUGCGGCUCAACCGUAAAAUUGCAGUUGAUACUGGAUAUCUUGAGUGCAGUUGAGGCAGGCGGAAUUCGUGGUGUAGCGGUGAAGUGCUUAGAUAUCACGAAGAACUCCGAUUGCGAAGGCAGCCUGCUAAGCUGCAACUGACAUUGAGGCUCGAAAGUGUGGGUAUCAAACAGGAUUAGAUACCCUGGUAGUCCACACGGUAAACGAUGAAUACUCGCUGUUUGCGAUAUACAGCAAGCGGCCAAGCGAAAGCGUUAAGUAUUCCACCUGGGGAGUACGCCGGCAACGGUGAAACUCAAAGGAAUUGACGGGGGCCCGCACAAGCGGAGGAACAUGUGGUUUAAUUCGAUGAUACGCGAGGAACCUUACCCGGGCUUAAAUUGCAGAUGAAUUACGGUGAAAGCCGUAAGCCGCAAGGCAUCUGUGAAGGUGCUGCAUGGUUGUCGUCAGCUCGUGCCGUGAGGUGUCGGCUUAAGUGCCAUAACGAGCGCAACCCUUGUUGUCAGUUACUAACAGGUUCCGCUGAGGACUCUGACAAGACUGCCAUCGUAAGAUGUGAGGAAGGUGGGGAUGACGUCAAAUCAGCACGGCCCUUACGUCCGGGGCUACACACGUGUUACAAUGGGGGGUACAGAGGGCCGCUACCACGCGAGUGGAUGCCAAUCCCAAAAACCUCUCUCAGUUCGGACUGGAGUCUGCAACCCGACUCCACGAAGCUGGAUUCGCUAGUAAUCGCGCAUCAGCCACGGCGCGGUGAAUACGUUCCCGGGCCU